This 79-nucleotide microRNA precursor is filed under the name Astyanax mexicanus (Mexican tetra). RNAcentral's name for it is "mir-17 microRNA precursor family". It matches the Rfam family "mir-17 microRNA precursor family". Rfam says of the family: This family represents the microRNA (miRNA) precursor mir-17, family, which includes mir-20, mir-91, and mir-103. miRNAs are transcribed as ~70nt precursors (modelled here) and subsequently processed by the Dicer enzyme to give a ~22nt product. In this case the mature sequence comes from the 3' arm of the precursor. The record is from Rfam by way of RNAcentral. Lineage: Eukaryota; Metazoa; Chordata; Actinopteri; Characiformes; Acestrorhamphidae.
ACUGUAGGGUCAAAGUGCUUACAGUGCAGGUAGUUCUGUGUAUUGUCUACUGCAGUGAAGGCACUUCAAGCUCUACAUU